AGCUAGAAUUGCCGUAACAAGGUUUCUGUAGGUGAACCUGCAGAAGGAUCAUU
Molecule: ribosomal RNA, 53 nt
Filed under: Climacostomum virens
Lineage: Eukaryota; Ciliophora; Heterotrichea; Heterotrichida; Climacostomidae
Description: partial Eukaryotic small subunit ribosomal RNA
Source: RNAcentral